Long non-coding RNA from Rosa chinensis, 1954 nucleotides. RefSeq lists it as uncharacterized. The record is from RefSeq and is a predicted model, not a curated record. NCBI's taxonomy places the organism in Eukaryota, Viridiplantae, Streptophyta, Magnoliopsida, Rosales, Rosaceae. The transcript has 5 exons.
AUUUACGGCCCUGGGAUGCGUUGAAUUGGCGUUUCUCGCUGGUCAAUUAUAGUUUUCCGUCGUCUUCUGUUUUUGAUGACAAAGAGUGAGGGAUUGUUGGUAUUUUUGGUUAGAUCGCCGCUAUCUGAUAGUGAGAGGAGAGAAAACAGAGUGAGAGUUCAGUUGAUAAGAGAUAAGUUUUUUAAUCUAAAUUUUACGGUCGUUCGAUUAAGGGUUUUGUGUGUGAUUCAAUUUAUCUAAAUUUUAUGUUCAUUGGAUUAAGGGUUUUGUCUCUGAUUUAACGAAUAUGGGUUUUGUUGUGGGUCAUUGUUCAUUUUGAUUCAGGGUUUUGUGGGUGAUUUAAUAAUAAGCAUGCAUGGGUUGUGUUGUGGGUUUUGCAUAUCACAACGUUUAGAUUGGGAGGGUUAAGGAUUGGUCUGUCCAAAUCAAGAUACAUAGUGAUCGGUUGAUAGAAAAUUGAUUGAGCAUUUCAUCCUGUUUUUUUUUUUUUGCUUCUAAUUUGUGUUGAUCUUCUGUUUUCAUAAUUGACCUUUGAAAAUAUUCCUUCUGAUUUUCAUCAACUUCUUUACAGUGUGUUUGGAUGGGGGAAAAAGUGAGGGAAUUUAAACAAAAAUAAGGAUUUCCCAAUUUCUUAGGACUGUUUCCAGCGUUUGGAUACUUAUCCCAUGAAAUUAGCAAUUUCCACAGAAACAAAUCGUGGAAUUUGAGGGCGCAGAUUCCUGACUUGAAUUCCUCUCAAGGUAGGUGUCAUUCUUCAAUUCCAUCCCAGCCGGAAAUCUCAUUUUCCAAAGCGCCAAAAUCAAAACAUGCCGCACUAAGUUUUGAUCCAAAACAACUCUAUAUAAAGCCACAAAACUUGCAAGACCUGGACUCCAAAAUUUGCGAUUGUUCUCAUAUCUGAGUUUUCUUCUGCUGCUAAAAAGGUUUUGCAAUCGUUCUUGUCGUUGAGUUUUCUUCUGCGGACCCUCUCUACCACCGCUGAAAAGGUUUAGGACGUAAAAUUUUUGAUGGGAGGAAACAAAGUUCAAUACCUAUAAAUAAAGGCUGAAGGUCCCUUCUCUAUUCAUUAUAUACACACAUACAUUAUUCUCAAACCCCAUUACGAGAGUGUCUAAGGAGAUUGCAUAGAGAAGAAGAGUUUCAAUGGCCACAGGAGGUCGACAUUUUGUUUGGUCACAGUUUAUUUUGGGGUACGCUUUUCAACUCAAGGCUCUUGAACUGUGGACAUUAGCCUAAUUACAAUGUUGUUGCUUUCGAGCAGGGCUCUGAUGAUAAAUAUAAAAUAAAAGUUUUUCGAUUGUUUUUCUCUACAUCUAUCCAAAUUUGGGAUUGCUUUAUGAUUCAUUUUAUUUCAAGGUUUCGGAAUUUGGAUCCAUUAUUGUUUAUUGGUGAUUGUUAGUGUUUACCGAUCUCAAGUAACGUUUAUUUGAAGAUUAUAUGCACAUUAAGGAUUUACAAAGAUAAAAUUCUUGGAUUGGAAGAUGAAAACAGUGAAAGUCAUUGUGGUUGCGAUGUUGUCUGCUAUCGAUUUUUUUUUUUAUUACUAUUAAAUUUUUAGACAAUUAGAUUAGUUUGUUUCGAACUGUUUCACAUGUUAUCGGGUAUAUAAACUUUUUUAUCACCAUGUUAAAUGGUUUUGCAGUACUGUUUUUCCUUUGUUUUGUUUUUGUUUUUAUUUUUUGUUUCUCUCCCAUAACUUAUUUCAAAACAUCUACAAUGGAAUUGGAGUUGAGCUGUUAGAAUACACAACUGCAACAAAGAGUGUAUCAGAGCCAAUUCUAUGAAUCACAAAGUUUCAUAGUAUUUAAAUUAGGCUAACUUCAGAUAUGCUUGGUGCACUUUGGAUAACAAAGUUUCGAUGAUAAAUAUUGUUGACAUUUGGUCAGUUUUUUUUUUUUUUUUGGCAAGUAGGAAAGGGACAAAUUUAAGUGGUAACUGUGAAUGGUUUUCUGUG